RNAcentral lists this unclassified non-coding RNA (289 nucleotides) under Hevea brasiliensis (rubber tree). The record is from RNAcentral. Lineage: Eukaryota; Viridiplantae; Streptophyta; Magnoliopsida; Malpighiales; Euphorbiaceae.
GAGAGCUCAAGCCACCUACAACUGGUUAGUUAAACCUUCCUUUGGAAAUGUUGCGUGCAAUUGAUUAUCCUAAUAGUAUCUAUUUUUAACUACUCAUAUUUUUGUUCCUUAAAUGUAAAACAUUUUCUUUUUUAAGGCUUCUCGUUGGAGUGGUUGAGAGAAUUGAGUCAAUCAUGAGAGAUUUUCUUCUUUCAUGGGGAAGGUAAGGUAGUAAGUCGUAUUUUGAGUUAAUUGGGAGACCUUUUGUAAGCCUAAGUUUUUGGGUGGGAUGGAGGGUUAUUAUAUAUUG